AUUGAACGCUGGCGGCAGGCCUAACACAUGCAAGUCGAGCGGAUGACAGGAGCUUGCUCCUGAAUUCAGCGGCGGACGGGUGAGUAAUGCCUAGGAAUCUGCCUGGUAGUGGGGGACAACGUUUCGAAAGGAACGCUAAUACCGCAUACGUCCUACGGGAGAAAGCAGGGGACCUUCGGGCCUUGCGCUAUCAGAUGAGCCUAGGUCGGAUUAGCUAGUUGGUGAGGUAAUGGCUCACCAAGGCGACGAUCCGUAACUGGUCUGAGAGGAUGAUCAGUCACACUGGAACUGAGACACGGUCCAGACUCCUACGGGAGGCAGCAGUGGGGAAUAUUGGACAAUGGGCGAAAGCCUGAUCCAGCCAUGCCGCGUGUGUGAAGAAGGUCUUCGGAUUGUAAAGCACUUUAAGUUGGGAGAAGGCAUUAACCUAAUACGUUAGUGUUUUGACGUUACCGACAGAAUAAGCACCGGCUAACUCUGUGCCAGCAGCCGCGG
This 495-nucleotide ribosomal RNA is filed under the name uncultured bacterium. RNAcentral describes it as "bacterial SSU rRNA". It matches the Rfam family "Bacterial small subunit ribosomal RNA", at positions 30 to 520 of the family's 1533-position model. The record is from RNAcentral.